RNAcentral lists this ribosomal RNA (400 nucleotides) under uncultured bacterium. RNAcentral's name for it is "bacterial SSU rRNA". It matches the Rfam family "Bacterial small subunit ribosomal RNA", at positions 359 to 776 of the family's 1533-position model. The record is from RNAcentral.
GAAUCUUGCGCAAUGGGCGAAAGCCUGACGCAGCCAUGCCGCGUGAAUGAUGAAGGUCUUAGGAUUGUAAAAUUCUUUCACCGGGGACGAUAAUGACGGUACCCGGAGAAGAAGCCCCGGCUAACUUCGUGCCCGCAGCCGCGGUAAUACGAAGGGGGCUAGCGUUGCUCGGAAUUACUGGGCGUAAAGGGCGCGUAGGCGGAUCGUUAAGUCAGAGGUGAAAUCCCAGGGCUCAACCCUGGAACUGCCUUUGAUACUGGCGAUCUUGAGUAUGAGAGAGGUAUGUGGAACUCCGAGUGUAGAGGUGAAAUUCGUAGAUAUUCGGAAGAACACCAGUGGCGAAGGCGACAUACUGGCUCAUUACUGACGCUGAGGCGCGAAAGCGUGGGGAGCAAACAGG